RNAcentral lists this ribosomal RNA (435 nucleotides) under uncultured bacterium. RNAcentral describes it as "partial 16S ribosomal RNA". It matches the Rfam family "Bacterial small subunit ribosomal RNA", at positions 29 to 507 of the family's 1533-position model. The record is from RNAcentral.
AGCGAACGCUGGCGGCAGGCUUGACACAUGCAAGUCGAGCGGGCACUUUCGGGUGUCAGCGGCGGACGGGUGAGUAACGCGUGGGAACGUGCCCUCUGGUUCGGAAUAACUCAGGGAAACUUGAGCUAAUACCGGAUACGCCCUUUUGGGGAAAGGCUUGCUGCCGGAGGAUCGGCCCGCGUCUGAUUAGCUAGUUGGUGAGGUAACGGCUCACCAAGGCGACGAUCAGUAGCUGGUCUGAGAGGAUGAUCAGCCACACUGGGACUGAGACACGGCCCAGACUCCUACGGGAGGCAGCAGUGGGGAAUAUUGGACAAUGGGCGCAAGCCUGAUCCAGCCAUGCCGCGUGAGUGAUGAAGGCCUUAGGGUUGUAAAGCUCUUUUAUCCGGGACGAUAAUGACGGUACCGGAGGAAUAAGCCCCGGCUAACUUCGUG